Molecule: transfer RNA, 91 nt
Filed under: Mycobacteroides abscessus
Lineage: Bacteria; Bacillati; Actinomycetota; Actinomycetes; Mycobacteriales; Mycobacteriaceae
Also listed under: 1 other name
Description: tRNA-Leu(aag)
Source: RNAcentral
CCCACUAGUUUGUGCGCAACGAAAGCACCCCCGGCCCAAGAGGCCGGGGGUGUUCUCGUCUUGGAAGUGGGUUCAACUCCUACCGGUAGGA